CAGUCGCCACGGGAAUACGUAGGGUGCAAGCGUUAAUCGGAAUUACUGGGCGUAAAGCGUGCGCAGGCGGUUCGUUAAGACAGAUGUGAAAUCCCCGGGCUCAACCUGGGAACUGCAUUUGUGACUGGCAAGCUAGAGUCUGGCAGAGGGGGGUGGAAUUCCGCGUGUAGCAGUGAAAUGCGUAGAUAUGCGGAGGAACACCGAUGGCGAAGGCAGCCCCCUGGGCCAACACUGACGCUCAUGCACGAAAGCGUGGGGAGCAAACAGGAUUAGAUACCCCUGUAGUCCCUGUCUCUUAUAC
Molecule: ribosomal RNA, 301 nt
Filed under: uncultured bacterium
Lineage: Bacteria
Description: partial 16S ribosomal RNA
Rfam family: Bacterial small subunit ribosomal RNA
Source: RNAcentral